RNAcentral lists this small nucleolar RNA (93 nucleotides) under Glycine max (soybean). Its description in RNAcentral is "snoRNA snoR64". It matches the Rfam family "Small nucleolar RNA R64/Z200 family". From Rfam's summary of the family: This family of plant small nucleolar RNAs belong to the C/D class of snoRNA which contain the C (UGAUGA) and D (CUGA) box motifs. This family includes Arabidopsis thaliana snoRNA R64 and Oryza sativa snoRNAs Z200 and J16. The record is from Rfam by way of RNAcentral. Lineage: Eukaryota; Viridiplantae; Streptophyta; Magnoliopsida; Fabales; Fabaceae.
GUUCUGUAGGGACCAUUUCAGGAUCAAAUUCACAUGUCAGACUUCCGAGCUUUUCAGAUUAAUAUGAAUGAAAAUUCUGGUACUUAGCAGAAU